Molecule: ribosomal RNA, 1535 nt
Filed under: Gammaproteobacteria bacterium
Lineage: Bacteria; Pseudomonadati; Pseudomonadota; Gammaproteobacteria
Description: bacterial SSU rRNA
Rfam family: Bacterial small subunit ribosomal RNA
Source: RNAcentral
UAAUUGAAGAGUUUGAUCAUGGCUCAGAUUGAACGCUGGCGGUAGGCUUAACACAUGCAAGUCGUGCGAGAAAGUAUCUUCGGAUAUGAGUAGAGCGGCGGACGGGUGAGUAACGCGUAGGAAUCUACCUAGUAGAAGGGGAUAGCCCGGGGAAACCCGGAUUAAUACCGUAUACCUCCUUCGGGAGAAAGAAGGCCUCUCUUUGAAGCUUUCGCUAUUAGAUGAGCCUGCGUAAGAUUAGCUUGUUGGUGAGGUAAAGGCUCACCAAGGCAACGAUCUUUAGCUGGUCUGAGAGGACGAUCAGCCACAUUGGGACUGAGACACGGCCCAGACUCCUACGGGAGGCAGCAGUGGGGAAUAUUGGACAAUGGGCGCAAGCCUGAUCCAGCCAUACCGCGUGUGUGAAGAAGGCCUUCGGGUUGUAAAGCACUUUAAGCAGGGAGAAAAAGUUAUAAGUUAAUACCUUAUGACCUUGAUGUUACCUGCAGAAUAAGCACCGGCUAAUUCCGUGCCAGCAGCCGCGGUAAUACGGAAGGUGCAAGCGUUAAUCGGAAUUACUGGGCGUAAAGCGCGCGUAGGUGGUUUGUUAAGUUGGAUGUGAAAGCCCUGGGCUCAACCUAGGAACUGCAUCCAAAACUAACUCACUUGAGUACGAUAGAGGGAGGUAGAAUUCAUAGUGUAGCGGUGGAAUGCGUAGAUAUUAUGAAGAAUACCGGUGGCGAAGGCGGCCUCCUGGAUCUGUACUGACACUGAGGUGCGAAAGCGUGGGUAGCGAACAGGAUUAGAUACCCUGGUAGUCCACGCCGUAAACGAUGACAACUAGCUGUUGGGAGACAAUGUCUUUCAGUGGCGCAGCUAACGCUUUAAGUUGUCCGCCUGGGGAGUACGGCCGCAAGGCUAAAACUCAAAUGAAUUGACGGGGACCCGCACAAGCGGUGGAGCAUGUGGUUUAAUUCGAUGCAACGCGAAAAACCUUACCUACUCUUGACAUACUUGGGAGCUCUUGUAAUGAGAGUGUGCCUUUUGGAACCAAGAUACAGGUGCUGCAUGGCUGUCGUCAGCUCGUGUCGUGAGAUGUUCCGUUAAGUCGGAUAACGAGCGCAACCCUUACCCUUAUUUGCCAGCGAUUCGGUCGGGAACUAUAAGGGGACUGCCGGUGAUAAACCGGAGGAAGGUGAGGACGACGUCAAGUCAUCAUGGCCCUUACGAGUAGGGCUACACACGUGCUACAAUGGGAAAUACAGACGGACGCUAAGCCGCGAGGUGGUGCUAAUCCUAGAAAAUUUCUCGUAGUCCGGAUUGGAGUCUGCAACUCGACUCCAUGAAGUCGGAAUCGCUAGUAAUCGCGGAUCAGCAUGCCGCGGUGAAUACGUUCUCGGGUCUUGUACACACCGCCCGUCAUACCAUGGAAGUGGAUUGCACCAGAAGUAGAUAGUCUAACCUUAGGGAGGGCGUUUACCACGGUGUGCUUCAUGACUGGGGUAAAGUCGUAACAAGGUAGCCGUAGGGGAACCUGUGGCUGGAUCACCUCCUUA